RNAcentral lists this unclassified non-coding RNA (276 nucleotides) under uncultured Gaiellales bacterium. RNAcentral describes it as "contains 16S-23S intergenic spacer region". Lineage: Bacteria; Bacillati; Actinomycetota; Thermoleophilia; Gaiellales. The record is from RNAcentral.
UCCGAGUUGACCCCGGCGGUCUCCCACGAGUCCCCAUCACCCCGAAGGGCUGCCGUAUUUCUACGGCAUUCAGGUGCAUGUCAAGCCCUGGUAAGGUUCUUCGCGUUGCGUCGAAUUGAACCACAUGCUCCGCUGCUUGUGCGGGCCCCCGUCAAUUCCUUUGAGUUUUAGCCUUGCGGCCGUACUCCCCAGGCGGGGCGCUUAAUGCGUUAGCUUCGGCACGGACGGAGUCGACACCGCCCACACCUAGCGCCCAUCGUUUACGGCGUGGACUAC